Molecule: ribosomal RNA, 253 nt
Filed under: uncultured bacterium
Lineage: Bacteria
Description: partial 16S ribosomal RNA
Rfam family: Bacterial small subunit ribosomal RNA
Source: RNAcentral
UACGAAGGGGGCUAGCGUUGCUCGGAAUCACUGGGCGUAAAGGGUGCGUAGGCGGAUCUUUAAGUCGGGGGUGAAAUCCCGGGGCUCAACCCCGGAACUGCCUUCGAUACUGAGGAUCUUGAGUCCGGGAGAGGUGAGUGGAACUGCGAGUGUAGAGGUGAAAUUCGUAGAUAUUCGCAAGAACACCAGUGGCGAAGGCGGCUCACUGGCCCGGUACUGACGCUGAGGUGCGAAAGCGUGGGGAGCAAACAGG